AGUGAACGCUGGCGGUAGGCCUAACACAUGCAAGUCGAACGGCAGCACAGUAAGAGCUUGCUCUUACGGGUGGCGAGUGGCGGACGGGUGAGGAAUACAUCGGAAUCUACUUUUUCGUGGGGGAUAACGUAGGGAAACUUACGCUAAUACCGCAUACGACCUACGGGUGAAAGCAGGGGAUCUUCGGACCUUGCGCGAUUGAAUGAGCCGAUGUCGGAUUAGCUAGUUGGCGGGGUAAAGGCCCACCAAGGCGACGAUCCGUAGCUGGUCUGAGAGGAUGAUCAGCCACACUGGAACUGAGACACGGUCCAGACUCCUACGGGAGGCAGCAGUGGGGAAUAUUAGACAAUGGGCGCAAGCCUGAUCCAGCCAUACCGCGUGGGUGAAGAAGGCCUUCGGAUUGUAAAGCCCUUUUGUUGGGAAAGAAAAGCAGCAGGUUAAUACCCCGCUGUUCUGACGGUACCCAAAGAAUAAGCACCGGCUAACUUCGUG
RNAcentral lists this ribosomal RNA (492 nucleotides) under uncultured bacterium. Its description in RNAcentral is "partial 16S ribosomal RNA". It matches the Rfam family "Bacterial small subunit ribosomal RNA", at positions 29 to 507 of the family's 1533-position model. The record is from RNAcentral.